Molecule: long non-coding RNA, 653 nt
Organism: Coffea eugenioides
Lineage: Eukaryota; Viridiplantae; Streptophyta; Magnoliopsida; Gentianales; Rubiaceae
Exons: 2
Source: RefSeq, a predicted model, not a curated record
UCUUCUCGUUCUCCUGCCGCACGACACACUCAACUGCAGCUUAGGGUUUCUGCUUCUAUUUCUGUCACUGCUGUCCCUCUACUGCCGUUUCUUGAUUGUGUUUCCCCUUUGUCCCACUUUCCUGAGGACAUUAGCUUUGCCAAAGUGGCUGCCAUCAUCUCUGUCCGUCGUUUGACGCCGCUCUAUCUUCCGUUCCUCUGUCGUACUAAAACGGCCACCACCACUGCUGCUGUUUUGUGAUUAGGGUUCUGUUGUCGCUGACUGCUCGCUAACUCACGGCUCUAUGCCAAUACCUCUGCUCACCAUCGUUAGUGGAGACCGGCUGACCGUCAUCGACUCUAAGCUAGCUGAAAUCUAUCACCAUAGUGCCACCACUGUUCUGACGGCAGCAUUUGCAAGGACAUUCCGGCCAACAUUUUCAAUUUGAUAAUUAAUUUGAUGGUUGGUUAAUACUGAUUACAAGGGCCGUUGGUAUUGAGCUUCGCAUUGGUCUUCUUGACUAAUUCACUGUUGCUGGGGGAAUUCAAUGUUGUUUUUCCUUUGGAAUUCAUUGAUUGAGAUUACUUGACUACCUGUAUUUAGCCUUUGCUAGCCCGAACUUGUUAAGCAUUGGUGCUUGUUAAAUUACUGAAUGACAUCGUGACUUCUAAGUC